This 431-nucleotide ribosomal RNA is filed under the name Babesia sp. RNAcentral's name for it is "SSU rRNA". It matches the Rfam family "Eukaryotic small subunit ribosomal RNA", at positions 453 to 886 of the family's 1831-position model. Lineage: Eukaryota; Apicomplexa; Aconoidasida; Piroplasmida; Babesiidae. The record is from RNAcentral.
GACACAGGGAGGUAGUGACAAGAAAUAACAAUGCCGGGCUUUUAUAAGUCUGGCAAUUGGAAUGAGAACAAUUUAAAUCCCUUAUCGAGGAUCAAUUGGAGGGCAAGUCUGGUGCCAGCAGCCGCGGUAAUUCCAGCUCCAAUAGCGUAUACUAAAGUUGUUGCAGUUAAAAAGCUCGUAGUUGAAUUUCUGGUCUCGGACAUCGGUCUGCCUCGAACGAGGUACGUACCAGUUGUCUGAAUCCAUCCUCGGGGAAAACAUGUCUGUCAUUCAGUUGAUGGGCAUGGGAUCCUCGUCAUUUACUGUGAGCAAAAUAGAGUGUUCAAAGCAGGCUUAUGCCGUUGAAUACAUUAGCAUGGAAUAAUAAGAUAGGACCUUGGUCUAUUUUGUUGGUUUGUACUCCAAGGUAAUGGUUAAUAGGAGCAGUUGGG